RNAcentral lists this ribosomal RNA (460 nucleotides) under uncultured bacterium. RNAcentral's name for it is "partial 16S ribosomal RNA". It matches the Rfam family "Bacterial small subunit ribosomal RNA", at positions 338 to 795 of the family's 1533-position model. The record is from RNAcentral.
CCUACGGGAGGCAGCAGUGAGGAAUAUUGGUCAAUGGGCGCGAGCCUGAACCAGCCAAGUAGCGUGAAGGAUGACUGCCCAACGGGUUGUAAACCUCUUUUAUCAGGGAAUAAAGUGAGGCACGUGUGCCUUUUUGUAUGUACUUUAUGAAUAAGGAUCGGCUAACUCCGUGCCAGCAGCCGCGGUAAUACGGAGGAUCCGAGCGUUAUCCGGAUUUAUUGGGUUUAAAGGGUGCGUAGUUGGGCUGUUCAGUCAGUUGUGAAAGUCUGCGGCGCAACCCUCACAUUGCAAUUGAAACUGGCAGUCUUGAGUACAGGUGAGGUAGGCGGAAUGCGUGGUGUAGCGGUGAAAUGCUUAGAUAUCACGAAGAACUCCGAUUGCGAAGGCAGCUUACUAAACUGCCACUGACAUUGAUGCUCGAAAGUGUGGGUAUCAAACAGGAUUAGAUACCCUUGUAGUC